CAGCCUCCGGAUCACUGUUGUAGAAUGUGUACAAAACAGAGUGCCAACAGCAUUAGCGUUUUAUGUGACAGGGAAGAUGUCUCUGAAGCUGCUGCGGCUCAUCUCAGAUUAUCAGGGAAAGGGAAGGGAAGAAACCAAAAGCAAAUCCUGGGAGUGUAAACAGCCAUGAAAACAAGUUUCAGCACAUUUCAUCCAAUCAGCAGAAGGUCCACAUUCCCUCUUCCUGCCUGAGCUGGGAGCCUAAUCGAUCAAAGGCUCGCUAAUCCUCCCUGUGUGUCCAUCCUAGGCCGACGUGGAACAGCCUGUGCUUGGGGGGAUUUUUUAGAGAAGAGAUGCCCUCUGACCCUGUGCUGACUGCAGUCCUGAGACAGGAAGAGGUCAGAGGGCCACAACAGAAACUCAUUCACACCUCAAAGCAGCACACCAUAGGGGGAGGCAAGCUACUGCCGGGCAUCUGUAAGCCUCUGUUCGCCUUCACAGAGCCACUGUAUGAGGAACCAGACUGCAGAGUUCAGGCAGCAGCAGUAUCACUGCAGAUAUCACGUUUGUCAGGAGUCUAGACACUGAAGUAUGUGGAGAACUCAAUCAAUGUUGAUCUGUUAUCUAGUAAUACUCUUGUUUAUUGUUCAAUGGACGUAAGCACGAGACCUUAGAAUUUUUUUUUUUUUUUAAGAAACAGUUUGUCACGAGUUUUGAAAGUAUUGCUGUCUGGCAUAUCUCUGUCUAAUUAGAAAAACACACGCGGAGAAUAACGAAUUAAUUUCCUCUUUAGGAUUUCUCUGAUUAGGUUUUUCAAGAAUACAUUUUUAAAACUGCUAAUCUACUUUGUUUGGUAGAGUUUGGGUUGAAGCUGCCUCCACAGUUUCUGUGGCAGCAAUUUAGGUACUAGGUAAAAAAAAGAAACAUUAACAGUGACAUGGCUACAUGUUAGCUCCAAACCACACUAAAGAUGGCAUAUAAAGUUGGAGUAUUAGAAGUAUAUACCACUAAACUAAACGGCUAUUUCAAUACCAGUUUUAUAUAAAUGGAAUUUGUAUUGUAUUUGUGAAAACACAAAAGGUUGCAUUUUCAGUAUAUGUUUCUGGCAUUAGGACAACCUUAGAAUUAGAAAAAGCUGUCAAAGUUGGACUGAAUUAUUGUAGAAAUACAGAUAUAUUUAAAGUGAACGCCUUUGUUUUUUUUGUUUUUUUUUACAUAUUUGGACAUAUGGAUAUCUAAUAAAAAUGUGAACAAUAAUAACAAAUUCAAGUAAUAUAAAUGAAUAAUAAAAAUUGACAAAAAAACCUUUUAACAAUUUCUGUAAAAUGUAAUAGAGAAAUAUUUGGAAUAUAUUAGGACACCUUCGUAUUUGUUCCCACUUAAAACACUGACGUAUCACAUGAAGCGCACAUGAUGAGAACAUCAUUACUUAACAUUUUGACUCCAGACUGUUAAAGUGAGAUCUAGCAACAUAGAGCUGUCUGAUGCUGUCAGAAAGAAGACUGUAGCAGCUGAUGAGUCUGGUAAGGGACUUCAGGAAGUCUCAAAGGAAUUAUUCACUCCACUGUAUGGAAAACAGUCUACCACUGCUGGACAUUCAAAACAAGUGCCAAAAUCCUCAUUCUGAACGUUCAUGCAAGUUCACCCUGUGCUGUAAGAUGCUAAAAGGAGCAUAAACCAAAUGUAGCAUUCCAAGAAAAGAACCUCAUACCAACCGUAAAGCAUGCGGCUGGAAGCAUCGUGAUUUUGGGCUCUUUUGCUGCAGCACGACCUGGCCAGCUCACUCACCUUCCUACUAACCACCACGAGACCAUCUGUAAAAAAAUUACAGCUGAAGCAAAAUUGGACCCUGCAAGAUACAAUUAAACACAAUGUACCAGUAAAUCCACCAAGGCCUGCUUCAAGUCUGAGUCUUGGAAUGGAGUUCAAGGCCAGAUCUUCUACCCUUUUGAGAUGUGGGAUAACCAUAAAUGAGCUGUACAUGCAAGACAGCCCUCAAACAUCUCAGAACUAAAUGAAUUACACAUUUGUGAUUUGGGUAAAGUUUGUCAAUGGUAGAUGUCUACUGGAAAUGCAUUGCUGAAAUUCUUUCAGCAUAAGGGAGUAACACCAGCUUUUAGGGGUAUGAUUUUAACGUAUUUGUGUUGAUAUCUGUUGUUUAACGAGUAAAACAAGUAAGACUUUUUUACAUUCCUUUUUCCAAAUAUUAAAAGAAAUGACAUUAGCUAUUUUUAUGAGAUUAUUUCAUAAUAAAAAAAACCUGAAUAAAUAA
Molecule: long non-coding RNA, 2251 nt
Organism: Girardinichthys multiradiatus
Lineage: Eukaryota; Metazoa; Chordata; Actinopteri; Cyprinodontiformes; Goodeidae
Exons: 2
Source: RefSeq, a predicted model, not a curated record